UUGUUUAUUAAUUUUAAUAGCAUGUUGCUCAAUUUGAUAAAUCCUUUUGUGUGUUUUUUGAAUUAGGGUUUUGAUUGUGUAGCCUUGACAUUGCUGGAUUGUCCCCUUCUUUUUGGCAUUGGCGAAUUUUAGUAUUUGGGUCUUAACAGAUUUAAUUGUGAUUUCCUGUUUUCUUUAAUAUGUGGCUUUAGUUUUAUCUGGGUUUGGCAUUAUUUAUGUGUUGUUAAUUAUUUAUCUCAUUGUAUACGUUUUCCCUGAAUUUAUCUAUUUUUUUGUGGUUAGUGGCUAAUUUGAGAUUCAUGAUUAGGGUAAUUUGAGAGUUUCAUUACUUCAGUAUGCAUUUUGUUUAUUAGUUUUUCUCCUUUGGACAAUGCAUUUUAUUUUUAUGGGGUUGUAUGGAAACAUUACUAUGGGGUGGUUACAAAAAUUAUAUGAACAUAGAUUUUGUUUAGCUUGGGGCAAGUGUAAAUGUGGUAAGCACUAGGAAUUUAGAUUUUUUGCCCCCAGAAUGGAGGUAGUACAGAUGGGGAAUGUUUGUCAGACAAACAGAGACAGAUAGGAUUUCUACGUGGGGAACAGCAAGAAAUUGGUAUAAGGUGUCACUGAAUGCCUGCAACCAUUUCUUUUGAUAGGCAAGGAUCAACAAGGCUAGAUUGAAUGAACCCCAACAGAAUCCAAGUUUAUUGGUGGGAUUAAUUUUAGAUCCCUAAUGAUAGGAAAGAGAUGGGAAAGGAAUAAUGAAAAGCUACAGGAAAAAGAAUUUCUGUAUCCAAGAGAGCUCAAACUGUCAAAAAGAAAAAAUGUCCUGAAAGCAGCAGGUUCUUAUUCUAAUAGCCUUCGCAGUCAACACAUGUAAAAAAAAUGGGGAACGGUCUCUUCGAGUUUCACCUUUGAAACCUCAUGCCAAAAAAUUAAAAAAAAAAAAUGAUUUCUUUCACUUAAUAUGCACCAGGCGACAUUCCAUCAAUGAAGUGCCAUGUAAGCCCCUCCUUCCCCUCAUAUUCUCCCUCCUUCAUCAGAAGCAUUUUCCUACCCUCCUCCAACCUCCCCACUGGAAGUCCCUCUGCAACUUCUCCAAGAGACAGGGAUGAUAAAGAUGAAUAUAACAUAGACUGAAAUGCUUGAAUGGGUACUCUUGAUAAGAGUUAUCAUCCCUCUGUUUGACUGAUACAGCCUCUUCCUAUUUGUCAACCUUCUUUCCACUCUUUCCAUGCCAAAUCCUAAACUGCUUUAGAUUUUUUAGAGGCCCCAAAGGAAAGCACAAUAAUCUUGUAGUGGGUAUUUUUCUCAUCUUACCCCUUAUGUUGGCUGUAGAAAGUGAACAUUUCCCACCAAAUCCACUACAGUGAUAAUGUGUUAGUCUGCACGAUACAGUUGUUAAUUGUGUCCCUAGGUGCAAAAAAAGAAAAAACCUAGUAAACCUUUUGACUCUUUUUCAAACUGUCAAAUGGGUCAUUGGGUCCGAUCACAUAAUGCUGCAGUGUCAUGCAACAUAGCUUAGCAAUCCUCGUUUGAAAUUAUUUUGUAAAUUUUUUUUACCUGAAAUUAUCCUUACUAUUUUUUUCCUCAAAAUUUUUCACUAAGGUUGUUGUCUUGUAAGAUUUCUAUUUGUUUUCUUCCCCAAAAUUCUUCUUUUACUUUGACUUCUGCAUUAGUGUUGUAUAUCUUGCCUAUACAUGGUUAAUGACCAAUACUAUAUUUUUAGUCAGCUUUGGCUAAUCUAAUGCUCUUUUUUUUUUUUUUCCAUAUUGAUCGGGCCCUUUGCAUUACUGCAUUAUUAAAAUUUUAUAAUUUUAUCUUUAUUGAAAUUGAACACAUUGAUUGUGCCUCACUCAGCUCAGGCAAUAGGCCUUGGUCUGUGUUUUGUGACUAGGCUUCAGCAUACUUUUGCUCCUUAGGUGUGCCUUAGGUGUUAAUAAGCAUGCUGCAUGAUCAUACCUUGUGUUAAAAGUAGUCAUCAUCGUCAUUUAAAUGCCAAUUUGUUUGUUUAAUUUGGCAAUGAAAGGUUUUUUCUCUUCUCUGCUUUCAAUGGAUUAUAUAAUGUCUUUAGAUUGGCUAGGUUUCCUUGGUUAUUAGAUCUCUUCAAUAUAUAUGGAUGGUCUAUAUUAAAAACCUUCUUAAUUUGUGGUUUGAAGGGGAUUUUGUUUUCGUUUGUUUGGGAGGGGGGUUGUUGUUGUAUUAUUAUCGGGGAUCUUAUCUAGCUUAACUCAUAUGUUUGUUAUCCUUAGCAGUGUUUUCUAUGUCUCCUUGUUACAGCUUAGAGAACAUAUGAAAUGUGAUUUUAUUCUUGGUUUUGGCAUCAAUUUUGAUAACAGGUGAAUUUAAAUGGAAGGGCCAAAAUUGUUAAGCGCUAAUUUUGAGAUUUCAGGAUGUUAAAUUUCUAUGAUGCAUCGCAUUCUAACAAGACACAAGGAAUUUUGAAUUUUAUUGAAAUUUGAGUUUGGAAGAAUAAGCUAUCUAACAUGAUUACAGUUUUAUCAUGAGGCACACAAACAGCCUGUUUCUCCACUUGGCUCGGCUCUGCUCAGCUUGUUUACUUCCCACCUUAAGAUGUUGGUUUCACUGAAGAAGUUCUUAGUCACAAGAUUUGUGCUGAUUUGAAGAUUCCACUCUUGACAUGGUGAGCGGUGAGCCUAUCUUGAGGGUUCUAAAUUGAGCAUCUCGAGGAUACACCUCACACCACGGUGCUGCCAAAAAUAUGUGGAGAAGAUGGAUGCUAUGAGAGUUUUUGGUGGAGAAUAACUGGUGGGUCUUUUUAUUCUUCAAACAGUUGGGAUCUUUGAAGAAAUGGUCAUAGAAACCAUGGGUUGUAGCUCAAGCGUAAUGAGGAAAUGUUAUCUUUUGCAAUCUAAUGGUUUCCCCUGACGCUUAGGCCUAUCCCAUCAAAAAUUCCAACUCCAGACUUUAAGAACAAAACGUAAAUUUUCUUUUUUCUUUUUAAUUUUUUUCCUGAUGCUCGUUAGUUAUUGAAAGGAAGGAAGAUGUCAUGUCAAAACAUCAAAUGGGUCAUCCGAAGGUGGAGUAGGAUCUUGGAAAAAACCAGUAUUUAAAAGAAACUGAUUAUUGGGUUUGAUUUCAAAUCUGGUAGCAAGCUCUACCUUAAGAAAGCAGGGCCAACACUCCAUUUUCAAGACUUGGCUUUUUUUUAUUCUCAAGAGGAUGUGAUCCUAUGUGAUGUUUUACAUUCGAUGUUGUCCUUUAAGAAAAGUGGCUUUGCAUAUGUCUGUUCCUGUAAUUGAGUAUUGAGCCUUUCAUUAAUGGGAAUGAUCUAAAAAUGUAGGCUUCUUAUAGGAUAGCUCACUUGUAGUUUGAAAAUAUGAUAUUAAUAUUAGGUAUGUCAACCUGAAGAUUGACUUUCAGAACCUUAAUAGACCCAUUUUUCAACUAAAAUACAGUUUAAAUUUUGUCAGCAGAUGUUGUCUCAUUGUGAAAGAUGCAAAUCAGAUCUUUUGAAAAAUGAACUGAAAAGAUUGGUCAAUCUUCAUAUAGAGGUGGAGGUAGAAGGGGUGGUAGACCCUUUAGAGGGGGUGGUAGAUCCUUCAGAGGUGGUG
This is an RNA transcript of Vitis riparia (riverbank grape), 3551 nucleotides long. RefSeq lists it as uncharacterized. NCBI's taxonomy places the organism in Eukaryota, Viridiplantae, Streptophyta, Magnoliopsida, Vitales, Vitaceae. The record is from RefSeq and is a predicted model, not a curated record. The transcript has 3 exons.